CCAUUCCCGACACGGGGAGGUAGUGACGAAAAAUAACAAUACAGGACUCUAACGAGGCCCUGUAAUUGGAAUGAGUACAUUCUAAACCUUUUAACGAGUAUCCAUUGGAGGGCAAGUCUGGUGCCAGCAGCCGCGGUAAUUCCAGCUCCAACAGUGUAUGCUAAAGUUGUUGCGGUUGAAAAGCUCGUAGUUGGAUCUUGGGUGGGUGCCGCCGGUCCGUCGCAAGGCGUGUCACUGGCGGCGCUCGCCUCGUCUUCGGUUCUCCGUCGGUGCUCUUAACUGAGUGUCGGCGGUGGCCGAUAAGUUUACUUUGAAAAAAUUAGAGUGUUCAAAGCAGGCUGCUCGCCUGCAUAGUGUUGCAUGGAAUAAUGGAAUAGGACCUCGGUUCUAUUUUGUUGGUUUUCGGAGCACGAGGUAAUGAUUAAGAGGGACAGACGGGGGCGUCCGUACUCUGCCGUUAGAGGUGAAAUUCUUGGAUCGGCGGAAGACGAACUACUGCGAAAGCAUUCGCCAAGAAUGUUUUCUUUAAUCAAGAGCGAAAGUCAGAGGUUCGAAGACGAUCAGAUACCGUCCUAGUUCUGACUAUAAACGAUGCCAACUAGCGAUCGGGAGGCGUUACCAUGACGACCUUCCCGGCAGCUUCCGGGAAACCAAAGUCUUUGGGUUCUGGGGGAAGUAUGGUUGCAAAGCUGAAACUUAAAGGAAUUGACGGAAGGGCACCACCAGGAGUGGAGCCUGCGGCUUAAUUUGACUCAACACGGGGAAACUCACCCGGCCCGGACACAGGAAGGAU
RNAcentral lists this ribosomal RNA (793 nucleotides) under Boltenia ovifera. RNAcentral describes it as "SSU rRNA". It matches the Rfam family "Eukaryotic small subunit ribosomal RNA", at positions 445 to 1240 of the family's 1831-position model. Lineage: Eukaryota; Metazoa; Chordata; Ascidiacea; Stolidobranchia; Pyuridae. The record is from RNAcentral.